RNAcentral lists this ribosomal RNA (332 nucleotides) under uncultured bacterium. Its description in RNAcentral is "bacterial SSU rRNA". It matches the Rfam family "Bacterial small subunit ribosomal RNA", at positions 355 to 698 of the family's 1533-position model. The record is from RNAcentral.
GGAUGAAUCUUCCGCAAUGGGCGAAAGCCUGACGGAGCAAUGCCGCAUGUGGGAUGAAGCAGCUUCGCUGUGUAAACCACUGUCAGGGGGCAGGAACACUGACCGCCCCAGCCAGGAAGGACGCACCGGCUAAAACUCGUGCCAGCAGCCGCGGUAAUACGAGUGGUGCGAGCGUUAAUCGGAAUUAUUGGGCGUAAAGGGCGCGUAGGCGGCUUUGCAAGUGGCGGGUGAAAUCCCUCGGCUUAACCGAGGAACUGCCUGCCAGACUGCAUUGCUUGAGUCCGGGAGAGGUGAGUGGAAUUCCCAGUGUAGCGGUGAAAUGCGUAGAUAUU